CCUACGGGUGGCAGCAGUGAGGAAUAUUGGUCAAUGGGCGUAAGCCUGAACCAGCCAAGUCGCGUGAGGGAUGAAGGUUCUAUGGAUCGUAAACCUCUUUUAUAAGGGAAUAAAGUGUGGGACGUGUCCUGUUUUGUAUGUACCUUAUGAAUAAGGAUCGCCUAACUCCGUGCCAGCAGCCGCGGUAAUACGGAGGAUCCGAUCGUUAUCCGGAUUUAUUUGGUUUAAAGGGUGCGUAGGCGGCAUUUUAAGUCAGCGGUGAAAGUCUGUCGCUCAACCAGAGAAUUGCCGUUGAAACUGGGAGGCUUGAGUAUGUUUGAGGCAAGCGGAAUGCGUGGUGUAGGGGUGAAAUGCUUAGAGAUCACGCAGAACCCCGAUGGCGAAGGCAGCCUGCCAGGCCAUGACUGACGCUGAUGCACGAAAGCGUGGGGAUCAAACAGGAUUAGAUACCCGAGUAGUC
Molecule: ribosomal RNA, 460 nt
Filed under: uncultured bacterium
Lineage: Bacteria
Description: partial 16S ribosomal RNA
Rfam family: Bacterial small subunit ribosomal RNA
Source: RNAcentral